This 68-nucleotide transfer RNA is filed under the name Curculionoidea sp. 31 KM-2017. RNAcentral describes it as "tRNA-Cys". Lineage: Eukaryota; Metazoa; Arthropoda; Insecta; Coleoptera. The record is from RNAcentral.
GAUUAUAUAGUCUAUUUGAAGGAUAUUAAAUUGCAAGUUUAAAGGUAAUAUUUUUAUAUUUAUAAUUU